GCACAUCUGGACGGAACAGUCUCUGGAAAUGCGAGGAUUCAUCUAUCCAUUCUGGAGAGAGAAGGAGAAUGGUGUGGAGGGGCAGAGGAAGAAGGAGAGAGAAACCCAAGUAGACUCUACGCUGAGAACAGAGCCCCAUUCAGGGCCUGAUUCCAAGACCCUAAGAUCAUGACCCAAGCUGAAAUCAAGAGUCAGACGUGCAACCGAAUGCACCAUGCUGGUGCCCUGAAAUUGACUGAUUUUUAAAUGAAGGCAACAAACUCACAUUAAACAGAAGUCAGCUACAUGUUUUGGGCAAACAAAAAUAUCCUGCCUCCAGGGCAUCUCUCUGAAACCUACUUGUUAGUCAAUGAUAGCAUACUCUUGGGGCGAUAUCCAUCAGCCUAGGGAGUGUCCAGAGACUCCAUUACUAUUACUAAUGCUGCAGUGAAGAGCC
This 436-nucleotide long non-coding RNA is filed under the name Mustela putorius furo (domestic ferret). RNAcentral describes it as "lncRNA (ENSMPUG00000024121.1)". Lineage: Eukaryota; Metazoa; Chordata; Mammalia; Carnivora; Mustelidae. The record is from RNAcentral.